CGAAAGCCUGACGGAGCAAGAACGCGGGAGGGAGGAAGGCUCUUGGGUCGUAAACCUCUUUUCUCAGGGAAGAUAAUGACGGUACCUGAGGAAUAAGCAUCGGCUAACUCUGUGCCAGCAGCCGCGGUAAUACAGAGGAUGCAAGCGUUAUCCGGAAUGAUUGGGCGUAAAGAGUCCGUAGGUGGCAUUGUAAGUCUGUGGUUAAAGCGUGGAGCUUAACUCCAUAAGGGCCAUAGAAACUACAAAGCUAGAGUGAAGUAGGGGUAGAGGGAAUUCUCGGUGUAGCGGUGAAAUGCGUAGAUAUCGGGAAGAACACCGGUGGCGAAGGCGCUCUACUGGACCUUAACUGACACUGAGGGACGAAAGCUAGGGGAGCG
Molecule: ribosomal RNA, 377 nt
Filed under: uncultured cyanobacterium
Lineage: Bacteria; Bacillati; Cyanobacteriota
Description: bacterial SSU rRNA
Rfam family: Bacterial small subunit ribosomal RNA
Source: RNAcentral